AAUAAUUAAAAUGCCCUCUCAACGACCAGCUGGUGCAGGACCACCCCAACGGUCAUCUCUCUCUUCCAACGUAAAAGAAAAGAAAAAGGGGAGAAUUAAAGAUUUUUCCACUCCCCAAAAUCUGGAUCCCACUAGCCAGAUUCUCUAGUUGGCAAUUAGGAAAAACCUACUACUCUCUUCUCUCAGGACUCACAGAAAAAACAAAAAGAAUUCAUUCAUUACUAACCCACUAUUCUCUCUACUCACGUCUCUCUCUCUUUCCACUCCCUCUCACUCACCUUCACCCCACUCAUAACUAACCCAUUAACUCUCUCCUCUCUAUCUCUGAGUAAAGAAAAAACGAGAAUAAAGAAAAAGAAAAAAGAAAACCACAACACUACAUCACCCUCUACAGCCACCGCAAUUUCAUCUUCUCCUCUUCCCCACCAUCACAAACCCGUCGCACUCCAUCACCCUUCCAAAUCACCACCGCCACAUCACCGCCAACCUCCGCCGUUCUCAAACACAACCACCAAACUUCCACCUUCAC
This 529-nucleotide long non-coding RNA is filed under the name Lathyrus oleraceus (garden pea). RNAcentral's name for it is "Pisum sativum (pea) long non-coding RNA (PSAT_LNC038510)". The record is from RNAcentral. Lineage: Eukaryota; Viridiplantae; Streptophyta; Magnoliopsida; Fabales; Fabaceae.